Molecule: long non-coding RNA, 5515 nt
Organism: Callithrix jacchus (white-tufted-ear marmoset)
Lineage: Eukaryota; Metazoa; Chordata; Mammalia; Primates; Cebidae
Source: RefSeq, a predicted model, not a curated record
CCUUUGGGGUUGGGAGUGGUGGGGAAAGGAAUGUACCUCUAUUUUUCUUGCUAUUUGUUGCUCUCCAUUGAAAAGUAUCUCUUCACUUUUCUGACCAGAAAGAUGGUGUUUCAUGAAGGUAGAGUACAUAGUAAUUAGGCCGGGAAUCAACUUGGCCACACCACAUUGCAUCACUCGCAUGCUCUGUGCACACUCCCCCUGCCUGCCCCACCCUACCACAUCCUUCCUCUGCCUCCCUGUUUAUGCGUUUGGUGCAGAAUAAAGAAACAGUGAGGGUGUUUAGGGAGCCCAGCCUCAUGGGGUAGCAAUUGGCACAAGGAGGCUGUGACACAGAGUGACCUGGAAUUCCAAGUGGAAGACUGAGGUAUGAGGACAGCUGAGAUGGUGCUGUGGUCCUUUCUUAGCUGUAUUCUUGUCCUGCGAAGGUCCAGUGGUCCAGUCUUUAACUGAACUCUUGUCCUGGGAUAUGAGGGUUACCAUUGGGUGGCAUCAAAAGGCCCCUUAUAGGCUCUUUGAUAUUUCAUGGCCAUUGCCAGACUUGAAACCUUAGUUUUGGGGAUGGGUCCUCUCAUCAGUCACUACCUAGGGGAUACAAUCAACCCAGUGCUUUCUUGUAGUGGCCAAAUGGCAACAAAACUGGUGUAUCAGAUAUGUAAUCCUCCUCUCCCUCAACUCUGAAGGGCCAGAGGAAAUCCACUCUAGGGGAGUUUAAGCUGCUCUGAUAUUAUAAGGGUGUAUGUUGGCUGAGGCUGGGAGUGAGUCCUCUGGGAACCAAAAGUUCUGAAUGAUGGUAUUGUUGCACUUGAUUGCCUCUGAGGAGUGGUCUGAAAGAAAAGAAGAGAUAAAGUAGAAAUGUUAAAUGUUUCCAACAAAAGCUAUUAAGGGAGAAUUUCCUGACUCAGUACUUCUUGGCAUUUCUUGAGGUUUUUUUACAGACAACUUAAGGUUACUCUUUUGUGUGCCUGUGGUUUAUUUUGUUGUUGUUUAGUUUUUCUUUCAGCUUAUUGGUUUUCAUUGAUGAGAGAGUUGUGCAAGCCAAGGACCCAGACAUUACCAGGAAAAGAGGGGAGCCAUUCGGUGACCACUCAUGCCCAGUGCCAGCGGAAACCUGAGCGUGGUCCUUGCUGCCCUGGCCUCUGCUGAAGUUGGACCCACCCUCAUCUAAACUCAUUGGGGCUGUUCUCUAGGCAGCCUCAAGUCUUGGGAGUGUUUUCCUAACACUCCCAAGCACUGGCUUAUUAACCUACACACCACGUGACCCUUGACUUCUGUGGAGGGAUGAAUUGUGUUUUCCCAAAAUCCUUAUGUUGAAGUCCUAGCCCCACUACCUCAGAAUGUGAUGUAUUUGGAGAGAAGGUCUUUACAGGUCAAAUUAAAAUGAGGUCUCUAGGGUGGGCUCUAAUCCAGUAUGACUGGUGUUCUUAUGAAAAGGGGAAAUUUGGGGACAAACCCACACAGGGAGAACACCAUGUGGAAGACAAAGGCAGGGGCUGGGGAGAUGCUUCUAUGUGCUAAGGAAAGUCAAAGAUGGCACACAUCUUUGAACAUCAAAUAUGACACUUGGCAGUUGAGAAAACAGCUAAAGCAGGAAGCCCACUGUCGCCUUCCCUUAGCCCAUCUCUCCAGAAGUAGGUCAUAAAACCUAGAACACAUUUUCUGACCUUUUUCUGCAGCAGGUCAUAAGAUUCUCAUGUGAGAGGUACCCUCCCUAUAGCUGGAGGAAAGGAACAUCCUUAUCUCUGAGCACGGGGACACAGAAAAAUCUGAACAAACAGACUGUGUUAAAUUUACCCCCAUUUAUUACCAUUAGGUCACACCUCCUUUGCCCAAUCACACUUCUCCACAAUUAUCACUUCUUCACCAAACUUAGGAUAACACUACAGAUGUUUUUCAGCUUUGCGUCUUCAUUUCCAAAGGAAAUGCUUCUUAUGCUGUGAAAAACUUAUAUUAAAUGAAUUUGCCAUGCUUUUCUCCUGUAAAUCUGUCUUUUGUUAUAGGGGCCACAGUCAUGAAUCCAAGAGGGGAAGAAAAGAUAUUUCUUGUCCCCUGAAGACUUCUAGCUUUCAGGACGAAAGAAACCCUACAGAUUCCAUUGAUCUGGCGUGGAGCUGGACGUCUUUCAGGAAGAAGAGUUUUCAUUAAAACACAACCACAACAAAGCAAAAAAAAAAACAGCAAUUGAGGCUCUGAUUUUCUUCUGGGUGGUGAUGGGCCUAGACACAGAGACAUAUUUCCUAGCCUCCUGUAAACAGGAGUUGUUUGUUGGGUUUCCAGAAACCUUCAAAAAUGCUGCCUCAGCUGGAAGAGCUACAUUUGUUGCCUUCCCCUAUUUCCUGGUUCCCUCCUGGAAAGCAGAAAUGAUGGCUGGCAUUCCAACAGCUAUCUUGGACCAUGAGGUGACCUUGAGGAUGAAAGCCAUGUAUUAAGUAUGACGGCAAAGAAAGAGAAAAAAGCAUCUGGUCUUCAGUAACUGUGGAUCUUCCAUUACAUCCUGGGGCUGCCCAGCUCAAGACUCUUAUGUGGGGAAAGAUCAAUCUGUAUAUCAUUAAGUCACUUACGUGGGCUACUGUUAAAUGCAGAGGAACCUAUCCUAACUGAUACAUUUUUGUUAUUCUGAAGAUGCUUAUUUUCUUCCUAUGUCUUUUGACUAGAAAAAUGGGUAAAAAUGAAGAUAAUAGUAAGGACACCUGUUGCUCUGCUAGCGAUGGAAGGAGAGGAAGCCCUUAAUUGCUCUCUCCCUUCCUCACGGACCUGUUUUGUUGCUAUGAAGAUUGUCAAGGGCAGGCCUCCAGAGGAAACAAGCUCAGGGAAGUCUCUGCUGUGUACCAGUCCCAUGGCCCCAGGCUGUCCUUGGCUCUCGUUAUGUCACUCACAUUGGUGAGUGGGGGGAGCCCUUCCUCCGGGAGUCUGAGAUGGCUGCAUUGAACUUGUUGCCCUGGUCAUACUCAAAGGCAAGGCUACAAAAGAACACAAAAGAACUCUGCCUAAAAGUGGAGAGGAGAAGAAAGAACAUGAUUCAUGUUUGUCAAAUCGAGCAUUUAUUACGUGAUCCAAAGCUUUCUGUGGUCUGAUACUGGAAAUUGUAAUUUGUACUCUGUAGGUAAAAUAUUAUACCAGUUACAAAUAAAUAGUAAUCAAUACUAACCAGUAAGCAAGACCUCAAUUACACUUUGGCCAUACAGAGAGCUAGAUGAUCAUUUUUAAUGUAGCAGGGAGAAGAAAGAGAGACAUAAGAUGUUCCCCAUAAGCUUUAGUAGUAAAGAGGACAUAAAAGGAAUUCAUCAGCCCCUUGGAGCUAUGUGUGAUAUGCAAGGUCCCAAAUGAGAAAUUCUCUGGAACUUAAUGUGAUAGUUCCAGCAAUUUCACCCGAGAUACAGAUGUUCUUUAGGAAGUGGUUUGGAAGUGGGUUAAAAGCGGAAGAAAAAAGAGACAUAAAAAUUCAGAGAAAGCAAAGAGGGGAAUAUAAAGAAAUGAAAGGAAAAAGGGAAGAAAAAAUAAAGGAAAGGAGAAUGGACAAGGGAAAGAAAGAAGGAACAAAAGAAAGAAAAGAGAAAGGAAGGAAAGAAGGAAGAAAGAAAGAAAAGGAAGGAAGUAACAAAGAGAGCAAAGCUUAGAAACCCUGCAGUAAAACUUUCUCUACCUCCGAGUCAAAUAAAACCUCUUUCUUGGCACUGGUUGAUGUUCAAGGUGUGAUUACUUGAAUUCAGGAAAGAGCCCAAGAGAGGUGUGUUUGUUCUACCGGGAGCGGUGGUACCCUUAGCAUGUCUUCCUGCAUUUAUAUGCAGCCAGGGAACUCCAGGCCAUUUUCCAUGGUGAUCACUUUCAGGAGGUAAACCAAACCUCAUUCCUGGGCAACCUCAGCUGAGUUUUAAUCCUGAUCCUACCAUUUAUGAGGAGUGGGCCAUUGGGGAAGUCACUUAACUUCUUGUAGUCUGCUUUUCCUUACUUCCAAAUCCUGGGAUUAUCACCCCUCCCUUGAAGAAUUGUUGGGGAGAAUGAAAAGGCCAUUGUGCAUGAAAAUUAUUGGCAGAGGCCUUGAGCCAGAGGAACACUUCCAUAAAUGAGAUGCCUGCCUCGUGCUUUUCUUCUCUCUCACUCUGGUCAGAUGUUAUCGGAGGUGCCCUAGGCUGCAUUGCUGAGAUUCUCCAUGGCUCUGGGGUAAUGGUUGAGAAUAACAGGCAGAAGAGUACCACCGGCAGGGUAUGGCAUGGGGACCUCCACUCAGUGCCAGCGAUAGGGGUGCAAAUCUGUAAAGAAUUGAAAAACAAUGAUGAAUCAACUAAAAUGGGAUCUGCUUUUUUUUCCCCGAGACAUGGUCUCACUCCCUUUGCCCAGGCUGGAGUGCAGUGGCCCAAGGUUCAAGUGAUCCUCCCACCUAAGCCUCCCGAGUAGCUGGGACUAGAGGCAUGCACCACCAUGCCCAGCAUAUUUUUGUAUUUUCUGUAGAGAUGUGGGCUCACUAUGUUGCUCAAGCUGGUCUUGAACUCCUAGGCUCAAGCAAUCCACUCACCUUGGCCUCCCAAUGUGUUACAAUAACAGACUUGAGCCACCACUCCUGGCCCCCUGAAAUACCGCAAGCAGCCCCUGAGAUCUGUUUUCUACUGGCACCGUGUACCCCCAUUUCUAAAUAAUGUCAUAAUAAAAACUCCUCCCUGACAAAUGAUCUAAAUGUUUAACAACAGCUGUGGUUACUGUUGUUUUAAUGCUAUAUAGAGGCUUCAAAUCAGUACAUGUUAAUUAUUUACCUUUUAAUAAAUAUGUCUUAUAUAGAAGUUAAUCCAGACACUUCCUGGUUAUGUGAAAGUAAGUGUUUAUUUGAAGGGUCAGUUCAUAAUGGCUUGGAAUCCUUUGAGCUCCUGUUGCCUGACGUUUGUUUCUUCCGUGCUUAUUAUGCUAAAUAUUCCUACAGAUUUGAAAAAAAACGAUGAUUGCAAAAGACAAGGAAACAGAACUUGAAUUACCUCAUUUCUGACACUCUAGGUGAAUAUUUUGAGUGUUUCUGUUUAAAAUUUGAAAUGAUAAAAUAUUGAAAAUUUGUGUGGCAUGAAAUUCUUGUUAAGUGCAAAUUUUUAGUUCAUACACAAAAUACAUUUUUUUUUUUUGAGACAGACUUUCACUCUUGUUGCCCAGGAUGGAGUGCAACGGCAUGAUCUAGGCUCACUGUUGCGAUUUAGGCUCACUCUGCCUCUCUGGUUCAAGUGAUUCUCCUGCCUCAGCCUCCUGAGUAGCUGGGAUUACAGGCACAUGUGACCAUGUCCGGCUAAUUUUGUAUUUUUAGUGGAGAUGGGGUUUCUCCAUAUUGGUGAGGCUGGUCUCAAAAUCCUGACCUCAGGUGAUCUGCCUGCCUUGGCCUCCCAGAGUGCUGGGAUUACAGGACUGAGCCACUGCACCUGGCCUUUACAUAAAAUAUUUUACUGAAUGUAAAUAAUAGCUUUAAAAUGGAAAUGCACUCUUCUUUUAAAAUUAUAAUUCUUUUAAAGCUAAAUAAAGCCAGUAAAUAAAAUAUUACCACAAU